Molecule: transfer RNA, 67 nt
Filed under: Hirtodrosophila subflavohalterata
Lineage: Eukaryota; Metazoa; Arthropoda; Insecta; Diptera; Drosophilidae
Description: tRNA-Asp
Source: RNAcentral
AAAAAAUUAGUUAAAAUUAUAACAUUAGUAUGUCAAACUGAAAUUAUUAAUCUAUUAAUAUUUUUUA